ACUCCUGCGGGAGGCAGCAGUGGGGAAUUUUGGACAAUGGGCGAAAGCCUGAUCCAGCAAUGCCGCGUGUGUGAAGAAGGCCUUCGGGUUGUAAAGCACUUUUGUCCGGAAAGAAAUCCUUGGCUCUAAUACAGUCGAGGGAUGACGGUACCGGAAGAAUAAGAACCGGCUAACUACGUGCCAGCAGCCGCGGUAAUACGUAGGGUGCGAGCGUUAAUCGGAAUUACUGGGCGUAAAGCGUGCGCAGGCGGUUUGCUAAGACCGAUGUGAAAUCCCCGGGCUCAACCUGGGAACUGCAUUGGUGACUGGCAGGCUAGAGUAUGGCAGAGGGGGGUAGAAUUCCACGUGUAGCAGUGAAAUGCGUAGAGAUGUGGAGGAAUACCGAUGGCGAAGGCAGCCCCCUGGGCCAAUACUGACGCUCAUGCACGAAAGCGUGGGGAGCAAACAGGAUUAGAAACCCUUGUAGUCCCAUG
Molecule: ribosomal RNA, 473 nt
Filed under: uncultured organism
Description: partial 16S ribosomal RNA
Rfam family: Bacterial small subunit ribosomal RNA
Source: RNAcentral